GAGGUAAAAAGCAUUGAAAGGUAGCAGCAAAGAGAUAGUUGAAGUGACCACAGAGUGCUUGUUCUUGCUUGACAGAGUGGCGGCCCUUAAAGGAAUGUCUGGAAAACUGCCCGAUGAAGGGGGAUCACUUCUGGAAACGGUGGCUAAUACCGCAAAACCUUCCCGGACCAAAGGGGGGGAUCUUCGGCCCUCCCACCAUCAG
This 202-nucleotide ribosomal RNA is filed under the name Enterobacter cloacae. Its description in RNAcentral is "partial 16S ribosomal RNA". The record is from RNAcentral. Lineage: Bacteria; Pseudomonadati; Pseudomonadota; Gammaproteobacteria; Enterobacterales; Enterobacteriaceae.